CCUACGGGUGGCAGCAGUGAGGAAUAUUGGUCAAUGGGGGAAACCCUGAACCAGCAACGCCGCGUGAGGGAAGACGGUUUUCGGAUUGUAAACCUCUGUCCUCUGUGAAGAUAAUGACGGUAGCAGAGGAGGAAGCUCCGGCUAACUACGUGCCAGCAGCCGCGGUAAUACGUAGGGAGCAAGCGUUGUCCGGAUUUACUGGGUGUAAAGGGUGCGUAGGCGGCUUUGCAAGUCAGAAGUGAAAUCCAUGGGCUUAACCCAUGAACUGCUUUUGAAACUGCAGAGCUUGAGUGGAGUAGGGGGAGGGCGAAAUCCCGGGUGAGGCGGGAAA
RNAcentral lists this ribosomal RNA (331 nucleotides) under uncultured bacterium. RNAcentral describes it as "partial 16S ribosomal RNA". It matches the Rfam family "Bacterial small subunit ribosomal RNA", at positions 338 to 686 of the family's 1533-position model. The record is from RNAcentral.